This 90-nucleotide small RNA is filed under the name Microcebus murinus (gray mouse lemur). RNAcentral describes it as "Y RNA (ENSMICG00000032073.2)". The record is from RNAcentral. Lineage: Eukaryota; Metazoa; Chordata; Mammalia; Primates; Cheirogaleidae.
GGGGUUCUAUGGCAAGUUAAAUAAGUGCACGUUGAACUCCUUGUUCUACUACUUUCCCCCCUCCUCACUACUGCACUUGACUAGUCUUAA